This 421-nucleotide unclassified non-coding RNA is filed under the name soil metagenome. Its description in RNAcentral is "partial contains 5.8S ribosomal RNA, internal transcribed spacer 2, and large subunit ribosomal RNA". The stretch from base 1 to 120 matches the Rfam family "5.8S ribosomal RNA", at positions 35 to 154 of the family's 154-position model. The record is from RNAcentral.
GAUGAAGAACGCAGCGAAAUGCGAUACGUAAUGUGAAUUGCAGAAUUCAGUGAAUCAUCGAAUCUUUGAACGCAUAUUGCGCUCUUUGGUAUUCCGAAGAGCAUGCUUGUUUGAGUAUCAGUAAACACCUCAACCUCUUCUUGAUUUUUCAAAAGGAGGGUGGACUUGAGCUAUCCCAACAACCUUUACCGGUCGGCGGGCGGCUUGAAAUGCAGGUGCAGCUGGACUUUUAUCUGAGCUAAAAGCAUAUCUAUUUAGUCCUCGUCAAACAGGAUUAUUACUUUUGCUGCAGCUAACAUAAAGGAUAAUUGUCCUCUUUGCUGACUGAUGCAGGAUUUUACGACACUUUAUGUGUUGUUCAACUCGAUCUCAAAUCAAGUAAGCCUACCCGCUGAACUUAAGCAUAUCAAUAAGCGGAGGA